CCUACGGGUGGCAGCAGUGAGGAAUAUUGGUCAAUGGCCGCAGGGCUGAACCAGCCAAGUCGCGUGAGGGAUGACGGUCCUAUGGAUUGUAAACCUCUUUUGUCAGGGAGCAAAGGGCGCCAUGUGUGGCGUUGUCCGAGUACCUGAAGAAAAAGCAUCGGCUAACGCCGUGCCAGCAGCCGCGGUAAUACGGAGGAUGCGAGCGUUAUACGGAUUUAUUGGGUUAAAGGGGUGCGCGGGCGGAAUGUCAAGUCAGCGGUAAAAUUUAGGGGCUCAACCCCGUCGUGCCUUUGAAACUGGCGUUCUUGAGUGAACGAGAGGUAUGCGGAAUGCGUGGUGUAGCGGUGAAAUGCAUAGAUAUCACGAAGAACUCCGAUUGCGAAGGCAGCAUACCGGCGCUCAACUGACGCUGAGGCACGAAAGCGUGGGGAUCGAACAGGAUUAGAUACCCCUGUAGUC
This 459-nucleotide ribosomal RNA is filed under the name uncultured bacterium. Its description in RNAcentral is "partial 16S ribosomal RNA". It matches the Rfam family "Bacterial small subunit ribosomal RNA", at positions 338 to 795 of the family's 1533-position model. The record is from RNAcentral.